GACAAACGCUGGCGGCGUGCCUAAUACAUGCAAGUUGAGCGCUGAAGGUUGGUACUUGUCCCAACUGGCUGAGCAGCGAACGGGUGAGUAACGCGUUGGGAAUCUGCCUUUGAGCGGGGGACAACAUUUGGAAACGAAUGCUAAUACCGCAUAAAAACUUUAAACACAAGUUUUAAGUUUGAAAGAUGCAAUUGCAUCACUCAAAGAUGAUCCCGCGUUGUAUUAGCUAGUUGGUGAGGUAAAGGCCCACCAAGGCGAUGAUACAUAGCCGACCUGAGAGGGUGAUCGGCCACAUUGGGACUGAGACACGGCCCAAACUCCUACGGGAGGCAGCAGUAGGGAAUCUUCGGCAAUGGACGAAAGUCUGACCGAGCAACGCCGCGUGAGUGAAGAAGGUUUUCGGAUCGUAAAACUCUGUUGGUAGAGAAGAACGUUGGUGAGAGUGGAAAGCUCAUCAAGUGACGGUAACUACCCAGAAAGGGACGGCUAACUACGUG
RNAcentral lists this ribosomal RNA (497 nucleotides) under uncultured bacterium. Its description in RNAcentral is "partial 16S ribosomal RNA". It matches the Rfam family "Bacterial small subunit ribosomal RNA", at positions 28 to 507 of the family's 1533-position model. The record is from RNAcentral.